This 1005-nucleotide long non-coding RNA is filed under the name Ananas comosus (pineapple). RNAcentral's name for it is "long non-coding RNA (ACOM_LNC032372)". The record is from RNAcentral. Lineage: Eukaryota; Viridiplantae; Streptophyta; Magnoliopsida; Poales; Bromeliaceae.
CAAAACUUAAAGUCUUAUCCAAAGCAUCUGCUUUUAGAAAAAAAAAUAAAAAUAAAAAUAAAAAAAAUCUAGAAUACAACAAUUAUUAUAUUGCUAAUAUAUAGGGCGUGUUUGGUUCGCUUCUUUUUUACCAUGGAAUCGGAAUGGGAAUGAGUGAAUCCAUUUGUUGGUGUUUGGUACGUGAAAGUCCCAUUCCAAUUCCGAUUCCUAAGUGGAAUAGGAAUCGCUCAAUCACCCCUUUUUUCAAUUCGGCCUAGAAAGCCGGAUUGGAAGUUGAAUCCGGACGGAAUGGAUAUUUAUUCGGAUUAAAUUUAUUUUUUCAAUUUUUUUAAUUAAAAUAUGAGUUAAAAUUUAAAAAUUAAAUAUAUAAUUUUAAAUUUUAAUUUGAACUUAAAUUAAAAAUUAAAAUUUAAUCAAGUAUUUCGAGUCUAACUUAUGAAUUUGGAUUUAAAUUAAAUUUUAAUUUAUAUAAAAUUUACUCAAAUUUUAUUUCAAACUUAAAUUAAAUUUAUGAAUUCAAAUUCAAAUUUAAAUUAUAAUUUUAAGUUUGAAUUUGAAUAAAUCAAAAUUUAGUUUCAUAUUUUGAAUUAUCCACUCAACUUCAAAGUUUAAUUUUUUUAAAAAAAAUAGAUUUAAAAUUUUGACAUUAUUUCAAAAUUUUGAUGUAAAUUUUUAAUAUUUAAUAUUUAAUUUGAAUUAAAUUAAUAUAUUAUAAAGAUAAUGUUAGUAUAUUAUUUUAAUUACGUUUUUGUAUCCAUCUGAACCAAACACCAACAAUAGGAAUGAUUUAUUCCGAUUUCGAUUCAGGUGAUGAACCAAACAGAAUUAGAUAAUGAGUCAUUUCGAUUCUGAUUCCAGCUUAUUUUGAUUCCGAUUCCGAUUCCGACUCCGACUUCGAACCAAACACGCCCAUAGUAUUUUCAACCAAUCAAAUAACUUUUUAAAUUUAUUCAUUCUAUCAUAAUUUUUUUAAAAAUAUUUUUAUUUAUUCUAUAUUUUUCUCUC